CAAAGCAUGGAAAUGUCUUUCACAAGGGGAAAAAGAAGGAUUUCUGGUAAUGCCAAAAGCCUACCAGGUAUUUGGUUAAUGCAGAACUUCAGUGACUAAUUAAUUGGCAACUGAAGCCAGAGACCUCUGCUAAAGAGCACAAGGUGUAAGAAUUUCUUGUGGCCCUUCUCUCCCCUCCAUAACUGUUACCUGUUUAUUCCUCCAACCACCUGACUCCAGGCUGGAGAGAAGGAAGGAAGGAGGUAAUGCUGAGGGCUACGAGGGGGCACCAACGUGCUUCCCAAAAGGCAUGGGAGUUGGUACUAUCUGAGCAGGUGUCCUUCGGCUGCUGCUGGUGCAGGAUGAUCUUAAGAGGGGUGGAAGCCCAUCACCUUUAACUCAAGGAACAGCCCUACGAAACAGAUCUUACAGAUGAAGAAAAAAAAAAAGCCCAGAGGAAGGUGAAGCAAUGUGCUCAAGUUCACUACAGCAGGAGGCAGGGAGCCAUGGCCUGAACCCACGGCCUGGCACUCUGCACUCUUCACCACUCCUCUAGCCUGCCCACCAGAGCAGCAGGGGCAAGAUCCCCAGGACAGCCACUGCAGGGCCAGAGAGAGGUAAAAACCCUGACUCCACUGCUUAUUAGCUAUAUGACCUUGAGCAAGCAUAUUGCUUCUUUUAAGCUUCAGAUUCUUUAGUAAAAUUGGUACCCACCCCAUAGGUUUAGGAUAAAGAUUAAAUUGGGAGAAAAACAGUGGUUAUUUUGGUAUGUAUGGGGGACUGGUUCCAGAACCCACUGCAGACACCAAAACCUACAGAUUCUGAAGUCUUUCAAAUAAAAUGGCAUAACAUUUACCUGUAACCUAUACACAUCCUCCUCUAUACUAUAAAUCAUGUCUGAAUGACCUGUAUUUCCUAAAAUAAUGUACAUGCUACGUGAAUAGUCCUAUUAUACUGUUUAGGGAAUAACGACAAGAUAAACACCUACUUGUGUUCAGUA
This is a long non-coding RNA of Marmota monax (woodchuck), 979 nucleotides long. RefSeq lists it as uncharacterized. The transcript has 2 exons. Lineage: Eukaryota; Metazoa; Chordata; Mammalia; Rodentia; Sciuridae. The record is from RefSeq and is a predicted model, not a curated record.